RNAcentral lists this small RNA (29 nucleotides) under Bombyx mori (domestic silkworm). RNAcentral's name for it is "ovarian small RNA-21484". Lineage: Eukaryota; Metazoa; Arthropoda; Insecta; Lepidoptera; Bombycidae. The record is from RNAcentral.
UACUGAUUGUCCUACUCAAAUAUUCCACC